AUGAGCUCGCGUCUGAUUAGCUAGUUGGUGUGGUAAGAGCGCACCAAGGCGACGAUCAGUAGCUGGUCUGAGAGGAUGAUCAGCCACACUGGGACUGAGACACGGCCCAGACUCCUACGGGAGGCAGCAGUGGGGAAUUUUCCGCAAUGGGCGAAAGCCUGACGGAGCAAUACCGCGUGAGGGAGGAAGGCUCUUGGGUUGUAAACCUCUUUUCUCAAGGAAAAAAAAAAUGACGGUACUUGAGGAAUAAGCAUCGGCUAACUCCGUGCCAGCAGCCGCGGUAAUACGGAGGAUGCAAGCGUUAUCCGGAAUGAUUGGGCGUAAAGGGUCCGCAGGUGGCAAUGUAAGUCUGCUGUUAAAGAAUGAGGCUCAACCUCAUCAGAGCGGUGGAAACUACACAGCUAGAGUGCGUUCGGGGUAGAGGGAAUUCCUGGUGUAGCGGUGAAAUGCGUAGAUAUCAGGAAGAACACCAGUGGCGAAGGCGCUCUACUAGGCCGUAACUGACACUGAGGGACGAAAG
This 520-nucleotide ribosomal RNA is filed under the name uncultured cyanobacterium. Its description in RNAcentral is "bacterial SSU rRNA". It matches the Rfam family "Bacterial small subunit ribosomal RNA", at positions 225 to 759 of the family's 1533-position model. Lineage: Bacteria; Bacillati; Cyanobacteriota. The record is from RNAcentral.